Molecule: ribosomal RNA, 119 nt
Filed under: Pteropus alecto (black flying fox)
Lineage: Eukaryota; Metazoa; Chordata; Mammalia; Chiroptera; Pteropodidae
Source: RNAcentral
CCCUACGGCCAUGCCACCCUGAAUGUGCCCGAUCUCGUCUGAUCUCAGAAGCUAAGCAGGGUCGGGCCUGGUUAGUACUUGGAUGGGAGACCACCUAGGAAGACCAAGUGCUGCAGGCA